This 325-nucleotide long non-coding RNA is filed under the name Setaria viridis. Its description in RNAcentral is "long non-coding RNA (SVIR_LNC004979)". The record is from RNAcentral. Lineage: Eukaryota; Viridiplantae; Streptophyta; Magnoliopsida; Poales; Poaceae.
UUGUAUUUCGUAAUUAACAUGAAAUAUUACUUCAACAGCAGAAAUGAAAUUUAUGGAAUGAAAGAACUAUAAGGAUCUUCAAGCACCACGUGUCGUAAGUUUUUAAUAUUGCACGAGAAGAUAUAGCAAAAAGAGAACUUGCUCUAAUAUUAUGCUAUUAAUCACAAUAAAGCAUGAAACGACGGCCAAUGUGCAAAGUUGCAUCUAAAGAAAAGUGAAGAGUAAAAAAACCCCAUUAAAUGGAUAUGGAACAAAAGAAUUCAUACCAAUGAUAUCACAAAAUUGUUUACUGCUACCUGUCGCCCCGUCUUUCCUGAAAUCCCAC